This 85-nucleotide transfer RNA is filed under the name Felis catus (domestic cat). It matches the Rfam family "tRNA". From Rfam's summary of the family: Transfer RNA (tRNA) molecules are approximately 80 nucleotides in length. Their secondary structure includes four short double-helical elements and three loops (D, anti-codon, and T loops). Lineage: Eukaryota; Metazoa; Chordata; Mammalia; Carnivora; Felidae. The record is from Rfam by way of RNAcentral.
ACCUGGGUGGCAUAGUCGGUUGAGCGACUGACUUUGGCUCAGAUCAUGAUCUCACGGUUCGUGGGUUCGAGCCCCACCUCAGGCU